This is a long non-coding RNA of Strigops habroptila (Kakapo), 4541 nucleotides long. Lineage: Eukaryota; Metazoa; Chordata; Aves; Psittaciformes; Psittacidae. The record is from Ensembl.
CUUAAAGCAACCAGGAGUUUUAAUAAUAGGCUAUACUAAAUUUACCCAGCUCUUCAUAAUAAAGAUGCCUAUCAUCUCACGCUUUUAAAUCUGAAAUGCAUUCUUCUCUUUGAUACUGCCAGUUGCUUCACCACCGCUUGUUUAGUUUGUUCCCUCCACGGUCUCUGCAGUUGUUGACAACACUGGGCACUGCACAUCUGUACUGUGCCCUAUCUGCCUCUGGCACUGGGGAGAAAGUUUUAAUCCCUGUUUCCUGCUGUAAAUUCUCCUCCUAAAGAGGCGGAUCAGUAACAAAGGAGCUGCAGUGCUCAUAAAACUGCCCGAAUAUUAAAAUGGUUUAAUCUUCUACUAGGGAAAGCCGGAGAGUCUCACUGCGUGGCCUUACUUUCUACUGCACUUUGAUCCUUCGUGUAAGUUACUAAAAUUCAGCAUUUCAGAUCUGCCACAUUUGAACACACGAAAAAUCCAUUAGCUCCUUCAAAAUGGUGCAGAGAAAGGAUAGAACAUUUCAUUAUAUUUUUAUUUGAUUAUAUAUUUCUCCUUUGUCUUUUAGAAUCCAGGUAACAAUCAACAAUGUCAAGGUAAUGAAACAUUUUUCCUUCUCAGGCCCCAGAGCAAGCAUCUACACGAAUGUUAGCACUGAGUAGGCAGUUCUGGACACAAACUGCCUGCUCUGUGCACAGGUUUCCAGUAAACAGAAGUUACAGUUUAACACUCUGGCUAAGGGACUGUGAAGGAGCAAGCUUCCCCGGUACAAGACUAUGGCCUUCUAAUACUCAAUUGUACCGUCUCCAUCUACUGGCCAGAAGAAACUUUAGCUGGAGCACAGAACUGGUGAAAUAGAACAACUGCAUCCACAUACUUCUUCACGCUAUGGCCAAAACCUAGCCAUUCGGGGGUUUGGUGGGUUUAAGGUUGGUUUGAGACUUUCUUCCAGGAAUACUAACUCCUAAACAGAAAAACACUCUACAGUAAAAAUAUCUCUUGGCAUUUUAUUCUCAGAUAUUUAAAAAAGGUGGUGUUGCACGAUUUUACUUCAAGUAAUUCAGGCAAGGUUAACUUCCCUGAGUCAAGAUCUUGUGUUACAGUCGUAUUUUUCACUAGUCUGCAUCCAAAACAUGACUUUUACUCCAAGCUGGUUUUGGUUGGAAGAGUAGCAUUAGUUUUUAAGGUAGGAUACAAACUGAAUAUAAAACCUUUUAAUUCAUUUAUAACAAAUCCUAUCACAGCAAGAUAGGAUUUGAUAUAAUCCUAUCUUGUUAAUACCAUUAACUAGCACAUAGUACAUGAAAAAACAUACUUCAGAUAUAUUUAAAAGAUAACUGUUGCUACUUAGGAAAAAAGCAGUCACACAUUUAAUGCAGAAAUAGUAAGUUGAAGAAAUCCCCUUUCUUUUCUUCUUUCCUCCUUCCCCCCCUCAAAAGAUAGCAGCCCUCUGCAAAAGACAGCAAGCAGUGGCAGUGGCAUUGGCAAAAUGAGGGACAAGAAAUCUGAGCAAAACUGACUGAAGUUGAACUUGCAGUUCCAUUCAGUCAUCUCUAACUCUGGAAUGCUUCCCUGUUUACCCCGAGAACAUCUGUGAACAUGCAUGCUUCCCACUUUACUGGAAGAAAAUUCCAGAAUUAUUCCAGCAACCAUCUGGUGCCUCAGGAGAGGUUUGAGCCCUCCUCUGCUAGCAGCAACACCGCAUCCUCCAGAAAAUCCCCAAACCCCUACAGGCAUUCACUGCUUAUGGUUAAAUUUUCACUAUCCAUGGAUAAAUAAGUGAAACUUGGCUAUAAGUACUUGUGUCCAUCUAGUGUUAUAUUAGCUCAAGUUAUUCUUAAACCAAGAGUGCUACCAAUACUAAACUCAACAGACAUUUAGAUUUCAUGGUUUAGCAGCUGCAGAAAUUCCCUGCACCUAAAGUGAGGUCAUGGGCAGCCUCCGGAGUGGGAAAGCAAAGUUAUAAAAAUGAAGCGACUUGGACAUGCUAGCUCCUACCUUCCUUUCUUGAAAACAUAUAGGGGAAAUCACAUCACUGGUGCAAACCAGAAUGAUAGGAAAGGAUCUCACAGAUUGUAGAAACAGUUUCCCUGGAGCAGAAAUGGCCAUUCCUUGUCUCCAAACCAGGGAGGUGAAUUUCACCUAACUCCAGCCUUGCAAAAGCACUCGGAGAUCAUCAUCCCAGGUUUCCACUCCCAGGCUGAUUUUCUUGACAGACUCAGAAUAGCUGAGAGGCUAUUUGGUUUCUCCUCUACCAGAUAAUUAGAAAGAUCAGAGUGAAUUCUACAAGCAAGAUCUGUGAACUCAUAAAGACCAAACAUUUGAGCCUCAUGGGCUAUGAAGGAACAAGACACUGCCUUUGAAAAGCAAAUACUCUGAUACAGAAAAGUGUUCUAAAACUCAAGAGACAAACCCAGCCUUCUACUGGAAAACAAACCAUACUGUUCCUGAGCUUAGCAUUUUGUAUUCAAAGACAAACCACGCACCUUUCUCAUGUCCUCUAGUCCUCACAUCUCUCUUGCCUCAAAAAAGAUGCUGUAGAAACCUUGUCCUGAAUUAAGAGAGAACUAGACUUAUGGCUUCUAGGGCUACAGCAGUGGGUAGUGUCUUCUGAAUGAGGCUCUUGUGACAGAGGAAGUUAAUCCAGUAGUGGCACAGAGGCAACUUGUUAUUGUACCUGUUAAUAGCAUGGUAAUAGUAUGUUAGCCUCAGUCCAACAUAAACCAGACAGAAAUCUAACUAACUUGAUGACAAAAGGAGGUGUCUAUGGAGGUAGCUCACACCCUCCAGAAACGGGAGCAAACACAUCUCUAAAUAGUGGUUAAAUAGCAAGUAAUUUACAGUCAGCAUGAGACACCUCAAGAAUUGGUGAAAUCGCCUGGAGUGCUGAUAUAAGGAGGCAGCAGCGGGGCCCAACAACUUUUACAGAACGGAUUUUUGUUUUAAUUGGUUGAUUCCAGAAGGAAAAGAAUAGAUUCCAGGAAAUCCCAGUGUUUCUGAGUAGUUACAUUACAGAACAACUACCGAGGCUGUUCAGUGAGCCAUUGCGCUGCCAGUAACAAACACCAUCCCAAGAACCAUCUGAGAUACCAGCAAUUUCUAUCAGCAUCAACUCAUACAGUAGUUCUUUGGUCUCAAACACUUCCUUAUGACAAAACGUAUCAUCAUCACCCAUUUCCCUUCACUGAACAGGGCUGCAGACAAUUAUUUAUGUACAAACUUCAGUAGAUACCCAGUAUCGGGUGAGAUGAAUCCCAUUACUUUUAUCCAGUAUUGAGCCCAUACCUCUGGAGUCUCAGCAGAGGUUAAGCUGUCCCAAGAGAUGUUCUGUCUUGAAGCAAUACAAACAUUUUCAUGAUACUCAAAAAAGGGAAAGGACCCUUACUAGACAGAAACUUAGAUCCUGUUUACAGCUUCUCAAAAGACAACAAAUACAUUUCUUAGAAUUUAAGAGACUAUCAAGCCCCAUACAAGUGAGUAGAAUUGACAAAGUUAGCAAAGUAAGAGCGGACUGAAUGAUUAAAUAGCAAAGGCCAAGGCUGCUCCCCAAAGAUGCACAGUAAAAUACAAGUAUAACAAAAUGUGGCGUGGCAUUCUUUUUAAUAACACCCUCACCGUAUUUGGAAGACUCAGUGCACGUGUUCACCCCUAUGGACUCCACAAAGGCAAAACUAAAGCUCUGGUUCAAGAGCCCAGGGCAGCUGCAAUACCCAGCACUCAUAUGCAUACAAAGAGUCAUUAGGAAAUUCACCUUCCUUCUUUAUUUCAUCAAAACUGCCAACUCUGCAACACAUCUUACUCUCAUGCAUGUACUCCACACAUGAGACCAAAGAUUCUAGAUGUGUGGAGAACAACAGACAUUUGGCAUAACAACAACUGUUCUAUGCUGUGGAAUACCAGCCCUUGCACUCAGCAUUACUUUGAAGUCUCCGCAGAGAAAAAGCGGUGACAGAAUGCCACAGCUGUACAUAAACCCAGUGUCAAAACCAUGAAGUCUGCAAGUCACUUCCUUGCACAGAUUCUCCGGGAGAUCAUGUAGACAAAGCCAGGCAAAGGAAACUAGAUGUUUAUCUGCAUUUUUUAGUAUCUCUCAUGAACAACCUAGGAUUGCAAACAAAACACAAGUAGUUUCACCUUCAGAAUGAUACAAACAGGUGAGAGUCUAAAUGGGAACUCACCUAAGCUUCAGGAGAUGAGCUGCUUUGGAAAGCAAUGCUUGUGAAUGCUAGUUACUACUGUACACUUAAAUAAGCAAAUAUAACUACAGUAUUGGAACACUGUAUCCAAAGGGUGGGGAGUUUUCUAAGUGUGUUUCUUGUUAAAAAUUACAGCUUCAAACACUUUCGUGUGGAUGACUGGGUGGAUUUGGUACCUCUUUGUUCACCCAAAGCAGAGCACUGCUAUUGUUUAUGGUGCUCUUUACACUAGAUUAGGUACAUCUAUUACCUAACACCAUGGUGGAGCAUUUUGAUAAAGCAUAAUUGGAGCUAUACUCAAGAAAAGUGGUCAAAAUAAAAUCACAGAAUGGUUUGAGUUGGAGGGCACCUUAAAGCUCA